UUACCCGCAGAAGAAGCACCGGUUAAAUUCCGUGCCAGCAGCCGCGGGUAAUACGGAGGGUGCAAGCGUUAAUCGGAAUUACUGGGCGUAAAGCGCACGCCGGGCGGUCAAUUAAGUCAGAUGUGAAAGCCCCGAGGUUUAACCUGGGAAUUGCAUUUGAAAAUGGUUGGCUAGAGUUUUUGUAGAAGGGGGGUAGAAUUUCCAUGUGGAGCGGUGAAAUGGGUAGAGAUGUGGAGGAAUACCGGUGGCGAAGGCGGCCCCCUGGACAAAGAAUGACGGUCAGGUGCGAAAGGGUGGGGAGCAAACCGGAUUAGAUACCCUGGUAGUUCAAGCCGUAAACGAUGUUGAAUUAGAGGUUGUGGUCUUGAACCGUGGGUUUCGGAGGUAACGGGUUAAAUUGACCGCCUGGGGGGUACGGCCGCAAGGUUAAAAAUUAAAUGAAUUGAAGGGGGCCCGCCCCAGCGGUGGGGCCUGUGGUUUAAUUUGAUGCAAAGGGAAGAACCUUACCUAAUUUUGACAUCCCGGGAAUCCUUUAGAGAUAGAGGAGGGCCUUUGGGAAAGUUGAGACCGGUGGUGCAAGGGUGUUGUCAGGUUGUGUUGUGAAAAGUUGGGGUAAGUCCCGCAAAGAGGGCAACCCUUAUCCUUUGUUGCCCGCAGGUGAUGGUGGGAACUCAAAGGAGACUGCCGGUGAUAAACCGGAGGAAGGUGGGGAUGACGUCAAGUCAUCAUGGCCCUUACGAGUAGGGCUACACACGUGCUACAAUGGCGGAUACAAAGAGAAGCGACCUCGCGAGAGCAAGCGGAACUCAUAAAGUGUGUCGUAGUCCGGAUUGGAGUCUGCAACUCGACUCCAUGAAGUCGGAAUCGCUAGUAAUCGUAGAUCAGAAUGCCACGGUGAAUACGUUCCCGGGCCUUGUACACACCGCCCGUCACACCAUGGGAGUGGGUUGCAAAAGAAGUAGGUAGCUUAACCUUCGGGAGGGCGCUUACCCACUU
Molecule: ribosomal RNA, 996 nt
Filed under: Proteus penneri
Lineage: Bacteria; Pseudomonadati; Pseudomonadota; Gammaproteobacteria; Enterobacterales; Morganellaceae
Description: bacterial SSU rRNA
Rfam family: Bacterial small subunit ribosomal RNA
Source: RNAcentral